RNAcentral lists this ribosomal RNA (378 nucleotides) under uncultured bacterium. RNAcentral's name for it is "bacterial SSU rRNA". It matches the Rfam family "Bacterial small subunit ribosomal RNA", at positions 523 to 898 of the family's 1533-position model. The record is from RNAcentral.
ACACGUAUGGGGCGAGCGUUGUUCGGAAUUAUUGGGCGUAAAGGGCGCGCAGGCGGUUUUGUAAGCCUGGUGUUAAAGGCUCUGGCUUAACCAGAGUUGAGCGCUGGGAACUGCAAGACUCGAGUUCUGGAGGGGGAGCUGGAAUUCCAGGUGUAGGGGUGAAAUCUGUAGAUAUCUGGAAGAACACCGGUGGCGAAGGCGAGCUCCUGGCCAUGAACUGACGCUGAGGCGCGAAAGCGUGGGGAGCGAACAGGAUUAGAUACCCUGGUAGUCCACGCUGUAAACGAUGUGCACUGGGCGUUGGGGCUGUUAGAGAGCCUCGGUGCCGUAGUUAACGCGUUAAGUGCACCGCCUGGGGAGUAUGCCCGCAAGGGUGAA